Molecule: long non-coding RNA, 1224 nt
Organism: Eptatretus burgeri (inshore hagfish)
Lineage: Eukaryota; Metazoa; Chordata; Myxini; Myxiniformes; Myxinidae
Source: Ensembl
CUCCUUUCCACCUGGUCUCCUGCACACACAACACUUCCAACGUCCUCCUCUGCAACCUCUCCACUCCGCUGAUCCCUCUUUAAACUACCUGGCUUCUGAACUGCUGCCCGCCUGACAGAGCCAGUACCAUCUUGAUCAGUUUCGGGCACUCUGGUCAUCAAUCGGCAGUGCUGACCUGCUGGAUUUACUACCCUACCCUGUUAUGCAACAUCAGGUGCUUUCAGAACAGGUGAAACAACUGUUAGGGCAGGUACAGGAGUACACCUCCAUAUCCGAUGGCCUGCGAGGAGAGAAUACCCAACUGAAGACUUUGCUGGCACAAACGCAGCAGGAGCUUGCUUCGCAGAAUCAGAAGAUGCAUGAGGAGCAGCAUUGUCAAUCUAUGAUACCUGGGAACAUACACCUGGAGAUCGCUCUGGCACAGCAGUUCGAACAGGAAGUCGAUUCACAGCUACCUUCUCCUUUCUGUGGUAUUCCACCUUCCUACACGGGCUUAACGGCACUCCCCAUUGAUAGUUCUCCCUCGCUGCAGACUGAACCACCUGAAGAUGAAAAGGAGACUCUGAAGACCAAAGCACCCUGUGCAUACAGACCUACUCUACUUUGGCUGCUAUUUUUUUUCUGCUUGAUUGCUUGUGUUUGGCUAUUCAUCAUUGCAGCAUCAUCUUGUGGGCCACACAGCACCACCACCUCAAACCAUCCCUUCUGUUCUUUCCUCUGGCCACAUUUGUCCUUAACCUGGCGGGAGCCACCGCCGAUGUAACUGUUUUUAAACCCUUGAGGAGAUGCAUUCAUUGAAUGUAAUGCAUUUCCUGUUUGUUCGUUUAGUUCCUGAUAUUUUUAACAUUACCGUCAAUAACAUAUUUUAGUUGAAUAUGGUUCAGUUUAAUUUUUUGUGCUUUAUAUGAUCUUUUCAUCACUUUAAUAUCCGAAUUGCUGUUGCUUUAUAAAUUCGGUCAUCUCACCUUUGUUUGUUACAGAACCCUUGUUAAUUUUCCUUUCCUGGUUCUUGUUCUCUUGUAUUUUAAAAAAAGCAUGUAUUGCAACCUUGAUUUAUUAUAUCCCAGCAACCUGCAGAUGUUUAGGAAAUGUCAGCAAGAGUCUGUGCUUUCUAUUUCAUCUUUGGAUUAUAUUUUAUUUGUGAAUAAAGUUGCAAUCGAUUAUUGAUCCACCCACCUCACCAAAAUAAACUUUUUGAGAGGAGUACAAGCUGACUUGAUUUUG